GGGGGUACCGGUACAGAGUCAAUGUGGGGGCUAUAUACAGGGGGUACCGGUACAGAGUCAAUGUGGAGACUAUAUACAGGGGGUACCGGUACAGAGUCAAUGUGGAGACUAUAUACAGGGUAUUACGGUACAGAGUCAAUGUGGAGGCUAUAUACAGGGGGUACCAUUACAGAGUCAAUGUGGAGGCUAUAUACAGGGGGUACCGGUACAGAGUCAAUGUUUAGGCUAUAUACAGGGGAUACCAGUACAGAGUCAAUGUGGAGACUAUAUACAGGGUGUUAUGGUACAGAGUCAAUGUGGAGGCUAUAUACAGGGUAUUACGGUACAGGGUCAAUGUGGAGGCUAUAUACAGGGGGUACCGGUACAGAGUCAAUGUGGAGGCUAUAUACAGGGUGUUACGGUACAGAGUCAAUGUGGAGACUAUAUACAGGGGGUACCGGUACAGAGUCAAUGUGGAGACUAUAUACAGGGGGUACCGGUACAGAGUCAAUGUGGAGGCUAUAUACAGGGGGUACCGGUACAGAGUCAAUGUGGAGACUAUAUACAGGGGGUACCAGAACAGAGUCAAUGUGGAGGCUAUAUACAGGGGGUACCGGUACAGAGUCAAUGUGGAGGCUAUAUACAGGGUGUACCAGUACAGAGUCAAUGUGGAGGCUAUAUACAGGGGGUACCGGUACAGAGUCAAUGUGGAGGCUAUAUACAGGGUGUUAUGGUACAGAGUCAAUGUGGAGGCUAUAUACAGGGGGG
Long non-coding RNA from Oncorhynchus tshawytscha (Chinook salmon), 747 nucleotides. The record is from Ensembl. NCBI's taxonomy places the organism in Eukaryota, Metazoa, Chordata, Actinopteri, Salmoniformes, Salmonidae.